GACGAACGCUGGCGGCGUGCCUAAUACAUGCAAGUCGAGCGGAUUUGUUCCUUCGGGGAUAAGUUAGCGGCGGACGGGUGGGUAACACGUAGGUAACCUGCCUAUAAGACCGGGAUAACUAUCGGAAACGAUAGCUAAGACCGGAUAUCUGGUUUUCUCGCAUGAGAGAAUCAUGAAACACGGAGCAAUCUGUGGCUUAUAGAUGGGCCUGCGGCGCAUUAGCUAGUUGGUAGGGUAACGGCCUACCAAGGCGACGAUGCGUAGCCGACCUGGGAGGGUGAACGGCCACACUGGGACUGAGACACGGCCCAGACUCCUACGGGAGGCAGCAGUAGGGAAUCUUCCGCAAUGGACGCAAGUCUGACGGAGCAACGCCGCGUGAGUGAUGAAGGUUUUCGGAUCGUAAAGCUCUGUUGCCCUAGACGAACAGCAAGAGGAGUGACUGCCUUUUGUGUGACGGUAUAGGAGAAGAAAGCCCCGGCUAACUACGUGCCAGCCGCCGCAGUAA
This 508-nucleotide ribosomal RNA is filed under the name uncultured bacterium. RNAcentral describes it as "partial 16S ribosomal RNA". It matches the Rfam family "Bacterial small subunit ribosomal RNA", at positions 28 to 523 of the family's 1533-position model. The record is from RNAcentral.